AUUACUACAAAUAUAACAAAUACGUGAAAUAAGUUAUUGACUGCUUAAUAUCUGCCAGGUACUGAGCUACAUUUCACCUACGUAAGAAUCUUAUACGAUAUCUUAUCUUACAUGAUCACUGACAUUUAUGUGACAGGUACAGUUUUAAUACUUAAAACAAACCUGUACGUUAGGUACUGUUGAUAUCCAUGGUUUACAGUUGCUGAAACCAAGGCUAAUGGAAGUUGGUAACUUAUCCAAGAUUUUACAGAACGAAUAAAUGGAAGAAUAAGGCUUUGGUCCUGGCUAUAUUGUCUCUAAAAGCUCAGUUGCGUGUAUAUUAUGCCCACAACUUCUCAGUUAAUUGUCCCGACCAAUGUUACACAAUUUAUGAGCAACAAGGCUGACAUUCAAACUCCUGUGUUUUGACUUCAGGACCUACACUCUGAACCUCUGCCAGGCCAUCAAUGUGUAAGUAAAACAGAACAGACAGUACUUGGUGCUGUGAGACGUACAAAGGGGAGAUCUACUCCAGAGAAGGUGUCCAUCCAGGAGGGAUGCGAGGAUGCAACAGGUGCUCUCUCAACUUUAAGUGUGAAAAAAAUUAGGAAACUGAUAUGGGAGACUUCUAUUUCUGCUCAGUAUCUGUGAGGAAUCUGCAUAUUGGAUUUGUGUGUUUAGAGGUUUCAGUGAAGAGCCUUUAACCAACAUUAAUUAGUGAAUUGGGGGGAAAAAAAAGAGAUCUUUGGUCAUCUGACAGGAACAUUUGCCAACCACCAGUUUCCAACACCUUGGUCCUGGAUCCUGUCUUUUUGGGAGAGAAGGUGGGGAAAACUCAGUUUGAUGCCAAUGUUUUCAGGUAAACUGAGCUGUCUUUUAUUAUCAAUUUAUGGAGUAAUUAA
Molecule: long non-coding RNA, 881 nt
Organism: Diceros bicornis minor
Lineage: Eukaryota; Metazoa; Chordata; Mammalia; Perissodactyla; Rhinocerotidae
Exons: 3
Source: RefSeq, a predicted model, not a curated record